This 1548-nucleotide long non-coding RNA is filed under the name Homo sapiens (human). Its description in RNAcentral is "non-protein coding lnc-SRGAP2C-14:1". The record is from RNAcentral. Lineage: Eukaryota; Metazoa; Chordata; Mammalia; Primates; Hominidae.
AAAGAAAAACUCAAGUGGCAGCAAUGGAAGCUGGAGGUACCACUCAGCACAUUGGUGCCUUUCUUGUGUCUCUGCCUUCGGGGGAAAAGAUAACUUUUCUUGAUACUCCGGGACAUGCUACUUUCUCAGCAAUGAGAGCAGAGGGGCUCAAGUCACUGACAUUGUCAUCUUGGUUGUAGCUGCAGAUAAUGGGGUGUAGAAUCUAUUCAGCAUGCCAAGGAUGCUCAAGUUCCUAUUGUCCUUGACAUAAAUAAAUGUGACAAAGCUGAGGCUGAUUCUGAGAAAGUGUAAAAAAAGCUAUUGGCUUAUGAUGUGCUGUGUGAAGAUUAUGGAGGUGAUGUUCAAACACUGCCUGUCUCUGCACUUGCAGGCGAUAAUCUAAUGGCUUUGGCAGAAGAACAACUGCAGAAAUGUUGGAAUUGAAAGCAGAGCCCCACUGGUCCAGUGUAAGGAACAGUAAUAGAGUCACAAAGGAAGAGGUCCUGUUACUACAGCUAUAAUUCAAAGAGGAAUUUUAAGAGAAGACUCUGUUCUGGUUGCUGGAAAAAGUUGGGCAAAAGUACACUUAAUGUUUGAUGAAAAUGGAAAAACAAUCUGUGAGCCCUAUCCCAGCAUGGCAGAGGGAAUUAUAGGCUGGAGAGACCUUCCUUCUGCAGGAGAUGAAAUUCUUGAAGUAGAACCUGAGCUAAGGGCAUGUGAAGUUUUGACUGGAGGAAGUAUGAACAAGAACAGGAGAAAAGUCAACAGGAUCUGAAAAUAAUAGAAGAAAAGUCAAAGGAACAUCAAGAAACACAUUGGAAAGCCCGUGAGAAGUAUGGCUGUGUGCAGUGGAAGGAGAGAUCAUUUCUAAAGUAUUUAGAAAGAAAAGAACAAACAUCCUUAAAGCCAAAAGAGAAAAUGGAAAGAGAUUCAAAUGUACUUCCCAGUGAUUAUUAAAAGUGAUGUUGAUGAUCUGUUGGGGCCAUUUUGAACAUUAUAGAUACCUAUGAUGCAUCACACGAGUGUGAACUAGAAUUAGUACAUUUUGGAGUGGGUGAUAUAAGUGCAAAUGAUGUUAACCUUGCUGAAAGAUUUGAUGGUGUUAUAUAUGGCUUUAAUGUGAAUACAGGCAAUGUUAUCCAACAGUCAACUGCAAAAAAGGAGUAAAAAUUAAACUUCACAAAAUAAUUUACCGUCUUGCUGGAGAUUUGCAAGAGGAAGUGAGCAGCAGAUUACCCUGCGCUGUGGAAGAGCACCCAGUAGGUGAAGCGUCUAUACUAGCUACCUUCUUUAUAACAGAAGGGAAGAAAAAAGUUCCUGUGGAUUGCUGCAGAGUCCAAAAGGGACAGUUAGAAAAAAAAAUUAAAUUAGCCUGUAAAGGACAUGUAAUUUGGAAGGGAUCAUUAACCUCACUGAAACACCAUAAAGAUGACGUUUCAAUUGUCAAAACUGGAAUGGAUUGUGGUAUCAAUUUAGAUGAAGAAAAUAUAGAAUUUAAGGUGGGAAAUAAAAUUGUUUGUUAUAAAGAAAAGCAAAUUUGAGCCAAGACUUUUUGGGAUCCAGGAUUUU